GUGCUUGCUCAGGCAGCACAUAUGAUAAAUGGUAAUCGAUACAGAGAAGAUUAGCAUUGGCCCCUGCGAAAGGACGAGACGCAAAUUUGUGAAGCGUUUCCACAUUUU
This is a small nuclear RNA of Betta splendens (Siamese fighting fish), 108 nucleotides long. Lineage: Eukaryota; Metazoa; Chordata; Actinopteri; Anabantiformes; Osphronemidae. The record is from Ensembl.